Molecule: ribosomal RNA, 413 nt
Filed under: uncultured bacterium
Lineage: Bacteria
Description: partial 16S ribosomal RNA
Rfam family: Bacterial small subunit ribosomal RNA
Source: RNAcentral
UGGGGAAUAUUGGACAAUGGGGGCAACCCUGAUCCAGCAAUGCCGCGUGUGUGAAGAAGGUUUUCGGAUUGUAAAGCACUUUCGACGGGGACGAUGAUGACGGUACCCGUAGAAGAAGCCCCGGCUAACUUCGUGCCAGCAGCCGCGGUAAUACGAAGGGGGCUAGCGUUGCUCGGAAUGACUGGGCGUAAAGGGCGUGUAGGCGGUUUGUACAGUCAGAUGUGAAAUCCCCGGGCUUAACCUGGGAGCUGCAUUUGAUACGUGCAGACUAGAGUGUGAGAGAGGGUUGUGGAAUUCCCAGUGUAGAGGUGAAAUUCGUAGAUAUUGGGAAGAACACCGGUGGCGAAGGCGGCAACCUGGCUCAUAACUGACGCUGAGGCGCGAAAGCGUGGGGGAGCAAACAGGAUUAGAUA